GGUGGUUCUUGGGUGAUGCACCUCGGAAUCGGACACCCUUCUCUCUGGUUCCAGGUGCGUCACCCAAGAACCGCA
Non-coding RNA from Myotis brandtii (Brandt's bat), 75 nucleotides. The record is from Rfam. NCBI's taxonomy places the organism in Eukaryota, Metazoa, Chordata, Mammalia, Chiroptera, Vespertilionidae.